RNAcentral lists this ribosomal RNA (273 nucleotides) under uncultured prokaryote. RNAcentral describes it as "partial 16S ribosomal RNA". It matches the Rfam family "Bacterial small subunit ribosomal RNA", at positions 524 to 796 of the family's 1533-position model. The record is from RNAcentral.
UACGUAGGGGGCGAGCGUUACCCGGAAUCACUGGGCGUAAAGGGAGCGUAGGUGGCCUAACAUGUCAACUGUGAAAACCCGGAGCUCAACUCCGGACUUGCAGUUGAAACUGGUAGGCUUGAGGACGGUAGAGGAAGACGGAACUGCCAGUGUAGGGGUAAAAUCCUUAGAUAUUGGCAGGAACGCCGGUGACGAAGGUGGUUUUCUGGGCCGGUUCUGACACUGAUGCUCGAAAGCCAGGGGAGCGAACGGGAUUAGAAACCCCAGUAGUCC